AGCUCAGUGAAAACUAGCAUCAACAUUUUAACCAUUGAACAUAAAAUGAUAUUAAAGUUAAUCUUUCUAUGUUUAUUGUUUUUUGCCAAGUGUCUAGAAGAAAUGCCUCAUGCUUGUUUGAAUGUUACUUCGAGUCAAUAUUAUUGUUGUUAUGAUUUUGAAGAAAAAGAUGGAAAGUGUGUCGGAUGUGAAACUGGAUUUACCUCAGAUGUAGGUCAACCAUGUAGAGAAUGCAGUAAUAAAUUUGAUGGCAAAAGAUGUAUAUCCGAAUGCAAAUAUGUCACCAUAUUCACGGGUGCAUAGGAGAUUGAUACUUCUUAGAACUAACAACAGCACAUUCAAUUUGAGGGUUUCAGUUAGAACUACUCAUAUACUCAGCUUCUGUAACCGGUGUUAUACUGAUACUUGGAAUCCGCUAUUUAUGCAAGAAAUAUAAUACUAGAAGAAAAAAAUCAAAAUCAUCUGUGACGUUAGAUGAGGAUAUAACUCAAAACGAUCCUCCAAAUGAAAGUCACGAGGCAUUUGAGUUGAGCGAAGGAUUAUACCACACCAUUGAUGAAGAUAAAAUUUUAGUUUCAAGUACCAAUGACAAUCCAUACUUAGAAGUAGUGAACGAAUCAUCAGGUUCAGACAGUAUUAAAAACGACAAAGGAGGAACAGCGAGUUACCCACCACCUUACUGCAGACAAAUUACAACGAGUGUUGACAAACAUCCAUACGAGAACAGCCGACCGGAAAGUUUUGAUAGUCAUGCCCAUAUUUCUGGCACCCAAGAAACCGACGAAGGCUAUCUAACACCUAGUAAACCAAUAAUUGAUAGUUCAAUAAGAUGUGAAACUGAAAUAUUUGCAAUGGUUCAUGUAGAAACGUAUUCGUCAUCAGGAUCGGAUAACGACAAAAAUGAUAAAAACGAUGGUAUUGAUUAUUUAAACCCUUACCAACCUUUAGAAAAGUGUAAUCAAACUGAAAAAGAUCAUGGCUACGACAUUCUAAUGACCGGUCCGAUUAAGUUAACACUUGAUAAUGUCAUUACAGAAACUUUGUGAUUGAUACUUUUGUUCAUCGCUUAUCAGUAUAAAUGACGCAGGAAGUCCAUGACUAGUCCUAUUAAAUGGAUUUUAUUAAUGAUUCAAGUUGAUCUUACUUUAACCAGGAUUUUAUCAAUUUAAUCAUUCAUGGGUGGGCUCACUAUAUAUACUUGCAUGAAACUGAGAUAAUCUGCGUUUUUCCGGGAAUUCUGCAUAUAAAAUGAAAUAUUCCCCAUUCAAGCGAACGUUACACAUGGUAUUUAACUUUUUGUCAUUUUGAGAUAUGUAGUAGAUUGAGAUAAAUUGAAAAAUUCAUAAAAUAAACCGUCAGAAAAAAAACCAUAUUUGAUGAUAAUUCCAAUGGAAAUACUUGUAUACUGUUGCAUUUCACAAUGUUAAAACCAUGGUGCAGUCCAAAAGGAAAAUUAUCAUGCAGGGUUUGCAAAAUGAUUCUUCGACAGCAGUGUUAUGAUAAUCUGCGGGUCCAGAGGUAAGACUCGGACGCUUGAAGUUUUAUAGCGUUGUUUUCACUUUGAAUACCCUUGUAUUUAUAUUUUACUUAAUUUGUACUUUAUCGAAAAAGUGUAUAUGAAAUUAUGUUUAAAUGUUCUGUAUGUGCUAUCGACUACUUAAACUUUUUUGUUGACGUCUUUGUCAGAUUUAUUUGUAUGUUUGUUUGAAUUUUGAAGCAAGUUUGUUUGAUUGUCUGUGAUGUAUGUUUACACAAUUUUCGCUGCUGGAUCCCAAUUAUAAGGAAAGUGUUUGUAAAGAUAUGUUUUACUAUAUAUUAUGUACUAUCAACACUUUGCAUAACCCAUCACAUAAAGUAAGUUAUAAAGGCAUCAAAAUGACAAAUGUAAAGCAUUUCAAACGAGAAAACUAGCAGCCUGAUUUAUAUUCAAGACAAUAAACGAAAAAACAAAUAUCUUAUACAGCAACAAACGACAACCACUGAUGUAUGUCUGCGAGUAUUUUUACACAGUUUUGGCUGCCGGACGUUGACGAAUUUUGUCUGUUUGGGUUGCUCAUCCAAUUUUGUCAAUAUAACACAACUAUAAACAACUGCCAUACAAGUAGGAGGCUUAGCUAAAUAAAAACCAGUUCUUACGCUCUAUUUUCUUUUUAAAAUAACGCCUUUACCAAGUUAGGAAUAUAACAGUUGUUUCCACUCGUUCCGUUGGUUGAUAACGUUUGAUUUUGUCAAAUUUUAUGGCGUCCCCUUUUUGAAUUUACCUUGGAGUUCAGUAUUUUUGUGAUACCUUUUUUUUCUGUUUAAAUCUUAUUAAUAUAAGGGUGCUAUAAACAGUUUCGUAUAAAAAACUAGGGGUUAUUCCCCGACUAAAAAUAACCAUGGAGGGAAAUCCCUUUUUAUUUACUUAAUUGGUGAAAAAGUAUCAUGUUUUUUGUAUUUGAUUGUAAAAAUUAGUUAAUUAGCUUUCAAGUAAAACAGGUUGAAUGAUUAAAAUAAUUUUAAAAAUUAGAUUAAAAAUACAUGUUUGGAGGGGAGACAACACUGUAAACAUCCUGUUUUUUUGGCAGUGAAAAUUGAAAACUUAGUCGCAGCCACUGUAGCUCUUUUCGAAGCAGGAAACCGUACCCUGAAGCGAGAUUUUUUUGAAAGGCCAGGUUAAAACCUAUAAAUUUUAUACAGUUUUGAUUAUGUGAAAUGUGCCUGUAUCAUGUCUACAUGGGUAUGCACAUGACCUGAUUUCAGGUUUUUUAUGUUCAGAUUAAGCAAUUUUUCCCCCAUGUUCUCUGAAAAGAACUUUUUUAUUAUAUUAAAAGUAGACUUUAUUUUUAUUUCAUUAUAAACUAGAGAAAAUUUUGAUUCCAGUGAUAUCUAGUUUUAUACAAGUAUCUUUAUUAACUAUUCCACCACUAAGGGUCACUUAUGCAUGGUCCCUCAAAAUAUGACGUCAUAGAAAAAAACUGUUGAUUGCACCCUAAUGUUGCUUUUAAUGUGGAAGCUAUUGAAUGUUUUACGGAGGCAUUCAGUACAUAGUUUACCAUAACGGAUCUUAUGCGUCACAGAUGAAAUAUUUUCACAGACACUAUUAUUAUUGCCUUGUUCAUUAUGUAUUACAUUGUUAUAAAUUCUAAUCUGAAACUUUAUUAUUUUGGUGAACAGGUCAUUUGCUUUUACUUCAUAAAGUGUCAUACAAUAGCUGAUGGCUCUAUUAAGAUCUUACAUUAUCCAACUUAAGUUAUAGCAGUCAGAUGAGAUUAAAUAAGAAAGAAAAGGACUCUCUCUUUUUAUCUAUAUUUUUCAGAAAGUAAUUCCCUCCACAGUUACAAUUGAAACGGUGCGGAAUUAAUCAUUUUAAUUUUAGGAUGUUUUGAUGUUCUAAUGAUAAAUAUCUGACCUUAAACUACUUUUGUAAUUACCAAGAUAAAUAAAUUGUGAACCUAAUUUUGAGAUGCGUUCUGUACAUUUUCUUAAAGCAGAUACAAAUAAUGCAUAUGUUUCUGCUUAUAAUUAAAUGUACGCUUACAAGGUCGUUUUUUCGAUAUGAUUGAAAUUCCAGGUGAUCAAAGAUAAAUGUAUGUAUGUUAUUUGUUCAGGUCGGACAUUAAAUAUAUUUGUACAUUG
Long non-coding RNA from Mytilus californianus (California mussel), 3618 nucleotides. RefSeq lists it as uncharacterized. The transcript has 5 exons. The record is from RefSeq and is a predicted model, not a curated record. Lineage: Eukaryota; Metazoa; Mollusca; Bivalvia; Mytilida; Mytilidae.